RNAcentral lists this non-coding RNA (124 nucleotides) under unclassified sequences. Its description in RNAcentral is "DUF3800-I RNA". It matches the Rfam family "DUF3800-I RNA". From Rfam's summary of the family: Actinobacteria, Firmicutes, Fusobacteria, Proteobacteria (1 example), Tenericutes (2 examples). Terminator (Clostridia) The record is from Rfam by way of RNAcentral.
UUUGCGUGCGGGUAGUUAAGGCUACGCCGUAUACUUCGCGGAAUCGAAUUAACGUUUAAGCGAUCUUUCAAGAUAGCCGACCGCGAGGGAAAGAGCCGCGAAAGCGGCUUUUUUAUUGUUCAAA